UGGUGAUGCAUGACACUGGAGGACCUGA
RNAcentral lists this non-coding RNA (28 nucleotides) under Homo sapiens (human). The record is from RNAcentral. Lineage: Eukaryota; Metazoa; Chordata; Mammalia; Primates; Hominidae.